Molecule: long non-coding RNA, 771 nt
Organism: Asterias rubens (European starfish)
Lineage: Eukaryota; Metazoa; Echinodermata; Asteroidea; Forcipulatida; Asteriidae
Exons: 3
Source: RefSeq, a predicted model, not a curated record
UUUAUCCGGCGGCCGCCAUUUAAUUCCUCGGUUGCAAAAACUUGAGAACAUUAAGCUCUUUUUGACAGCUUUCAGAACUGACAGUUUGCUCAUAAUUGCCUUUUGGAAACAGGACAAUGUGCUUUUGAUAUUAGGAUACUGUUCAGACAGUGAGGACAUCUCUGGACUCUACAUGGGAAACUAGUGACAAGAAGCCAAGAUUCAUUAAAAGUUCAAGACCAGCAAAGGCAAUGUUUCGUAAAACAAGGGACAAGAACUCAUCAGUAGGAUUUGAAGCGUUGCAUAGUUUGAGUAUUACCAGGUGAUGUUUGCGGUAGCACCAUUUGUAAACCUCUUGAGUAAUGUUGGUUCUAAACCAGUGGUUGACAAAACACAUUUUUAUCAGUAAUUUCCAUUCUCAAGGCAAACAUAAAAGUCAGGAACCAAACUUAUUAGUUUUGGUACAGCUUAAAAAAGAUGCUAUGAAAAUACAAGCAAGAGUAUAAAGCGUGGACAAUGAGUAAUUAUAUUGGAAAUAAUUCAUGAUGUCAGAUUUCACCAAUAACUUAUUAGUUUAAUGUUUAAACAUUAUAGUUUUAACAAACUUACUGGGACUCAUUCAUUGACAAAUCAGAGGAAAAACACAUCAGGCUAUUAUUGUCAGGAUUUUUGUCUUUGCAACUAUAGUAUAUAAUAUUUUAAUGUUUUAAACUGAACAUAAUGUGUUCUGCCCAAAUGAGAAAAAUUGUAACACUGAAGCACUGAGUUUGUGAAUAAAAUAUUGUUUGUUCA